Danio rerio (zebrafish) is the source of this 114-nucleotide non-coding RNA. NCBI's taxonomy places the organism in Eukaryota, Metazoa, Chordata, Actinopteri, Cypriniformes, Danionidae. The record is from Rfam.
CUCGGCUAUGGCGACAUGUACCCUCAGACAACAUCUGGAAUGCUAGUGGGUGCGCUGUGCGCCCUGGCGGGUGUGCUGACCAUUGCUAUGCCUGUUCCUGUAAUUGUGAACAAC